UGAGAGGCAAAGAGGUUAAGAAACUUGUCUAAAGUUACUGGUAACUGGUGGAACUGGGAUUUGAGUCAAGGCGAUCUGAUCCAGAACUGGAACACCUGACCACUGAGCUCUACUAAAAUUGAUCAUUAUUUUGGCCAAAGAAUUUGGUGACAUUGCUCCGAUCUAAAGAACUCUCAGUUUUGACUUAUUGAAUGAAACUCCUGAAAGGAUAAUUUCAUGUACGUAUCACUGUCCUCUUAUCAAAGCAAAAUUCCACAUCAGUUUGUCUAGUCUUCUUACGGCCUAGUCAAUAUUUUUCUAUUUUAUUUAGAAGAACCUGUAAUCUAGUUCCUACACUCCCUUCUUUGCAUAUUUUUUAGAAUGCAUCUUGCUUGCAGAGAGAGCAAACCACACCAGUCAUGAAACCAUGGUGCUGUGUGCACAGUUGGGCCAGGAACGAAAACAACUACACCAUAGUAACAAUCCGUCAUUCUGUCCAUCUGCUGCCCUGGAGGGAUCUUAAAAUAGUUUCAAUUCACCUUUAAAAUCUGCUGCUCUAUGAAGGGCUUCUAACACUUGGCGGCCCUGGAAGCCUGCCUGAGAAGCAGGGCCGCUGUUCGGACUACUGGUGUCCAGCUGUAAGACUCUUCGGAGGGAAACAAGCCAUCCAUUCAUUGGGCCGUUGUGAAAUUUUCCUUCCCCACCAGUGCUCCCAGCCAAGGAGGAGAAUUCCUGGAGGAAUGGCAUUCUGGAUUUUUGUUCUUCCUAAUGUGGGAUUGAUGUUUUAUUUUUUUAAUUGAUUCCUUUUUUUUUUUUUUUUCCUGUUUAAUCUCCUUCUGCUCCCACUCUGAACCCUAUAACUUUCUUCUUCUUCUAGCUUUUCUUUCUUCAGCUCUACAACGGGGGGACUGGGCAUGAGUUGAUGUUUAUAAUCUAGAACUUUUCAAUUGGUUAGUGAGAUGAUCAUUUAUGAUUUAUCACCCAAACCAGGACACUUCUGAGAAGGAAAGAAGUGCUAUUAAUAAUUAGGGUAGAAGUAAGAGGAGUAAGCUGGGACCUUCUUGGGCAAGCCCAGACAUGUGGUCACCCCUGGUUUUGCUCCGGCUCCAUUGCACAACACAGGAAGAGCGUUUAAAUGCUCACCAUGCAGGGGCUAAAGAUAACAGUAUCACUCUUGGCUCUUGGCUCCAGUUCCCUUGUAUUCUAGAUCUUGAACAGAGCAUGGUCAAUCGGGAUUCAAACAGGACAGGUUGUUCUCUUUUUUGCUGACUGCGUCUUUAGUCUAUACUGAUUCUUUUUUGUUGUAGUUCCGUGUUUUUCCAAAAGGUCACAUUCUCAACAUCCAAGAGUUUAGUCUAUCAGCUCUCUAAUUUGAAUUGGAAGGUUACAUUGUAAAAUUUCAAUCUCAUGCAGAUUUUUUUUUCCAUUUUAAAUCCCAUUUAGGCUGUGAAACUUAGCGUGAAAUGAACUGACGGUUAUACUCCUUAAGUAUUCUUUGAGAUUGAUGCUAUCAGAUCAAGAAUAUCUUACAUGUGUAAAGAGUUUUGUAUAAUUGCAUAUAUUCUCAUUUGAUACCCACACCAAAGCCGGGAAGUAGGUGGCAGAGAUUAAUCUCUUUUUGAACCCAGAACAUACCACUCUGAGAUGGAAUCAAAUUAUGGCAGGUAGGAACAAAGGUGGCAUGAAAAUCAACAUCAUCAGAGUCUAACGUCCAAUCUUUUCAUACUUCUGGUUGAGGUAUAACAUCAUUUUAAAGCUACCAUUUGCUCUUGUUUUGUUUAUUGCUCGUGAGUAAUGGUUAACACAAUGAGCAGCAAACAGUUUUGACUGUAACCAAUAGUCACCCUCCCCCAUAUCCCUGCCAGCGGAGCCCGCCUCCAGCUUUCCCAGCUGGCUUUGCAGCCACGGGCAUCUAAUUAAUGGGCAUCUGAUUAAAUCUUUGUGAAUUAAACCCGAAAGGAAGUCUUCCCUAGAAUUUCUGGAAAAAGUCUUCCUCUCUGAUAAGAACAGCCAUGCAAGGGAAAAUCAGUGCCUCUUCCCUCUGGAUACAAACUGAGUGGCUGCAGGCCUUCUGAAACCAUGAAAGGACAUGCCUGAGGAUAAAUGCCAGCACACUGGAGGUAGCAGACAAAAAGAUGGAGAUCACCCAGGUUGUUUUCCACCUCAUGAAGCCACUAAACCAAUGUUGGAACCACCUGCCAUCUUGUUAUGUGAAAAAAUUGUUUUUGUGUUGUUUUUUAAGCCACAUUCAGCACACUGUUACUUGAAGUUAAGAGCAUCCUUAAUGAUUCACCAUUUAAAUGGUAUCAUCAUAGUUCACUAUUAGACUUUGUUGUAGGAAAUAUGUUCUUACAGGCCUUUCACUCUCUUGAAAUUAAAUAUCUAGAUAAUAAAACCUAUCUAUUCAUAUAAUCUUUAAAAAUCAAUAGAAUGCCCUUACUGUAAUCUAAAGGAGAAAUGUUAAAAACAACUUUAAAGAAGAAUAUGCGUUCAAAUGUGUAAAUGCCUACCCACAGCUACUCUCGAAGACAAGAUAAAAUAGAGCUUGCAGGUCUAUGUUGAAUCGCUAUGAAUGCAAUAGCUCUCUCAUGCAGCCUCCUGCAGGCGUGCUGUGCUGGUGACUCAAUCCCGUCAGAGGUGUAGACAUUGGUAUUAUGAUUUUUCAAAGGGUGAACAACUCUUGGUAAAGUUCCAAAUCAAACAGUGUACAAUCUUCCAUUAACUUAAGUGGUACCUGCGUUCUCAGAAAAUUGAGUGUAUGCUCAAACCAUGCAGAAAAUGACUUUGUGAUGAUAUGUAACACAGAGCUAGGAUCUAGGAUCACAGGGUUAUAAACACAUUUUCAACUACAUGAAUAUCUGAUGGCACAUUUGGAGGUCACGUGGGACUUUGGACAAUUCUUUGCUGUGUAGAAUUUGCCCGCACAUUGCAAAAUGUCUGGGGUCUCACCCAAUAAACACUGAUGGUGAUUCCUAAUUAGUGUGACAACCAAAACGUGCCCCCAGAAGUUUUCAGAGCAUCCCCUGGGGCAGUCUUACAACCCUCCCCUUCACCACAGAGGACAGUGUACUGAGGCCAAACUGGUCUGGGGCAAGCGCCCUGGGUCAGUCACUCUGUGUGAGUGUCAGGAGCACCCUGCAUUCCCCACUCUGAAGGUUGUGGGGAUGCUCUCAUUUCUUUGGAGGCAGGUGUGGCUAGGUAGAGAGAAAGCAGAGAAGCUAAUGAUGGGUGGCUCAGAACAAGUGCUCUUGCUGAAUCCUUUAGGGUCAAUGAUUCACCCUUUCUCAAUAUGUGUGCAUUUUUUUCACUGACCAUUUAUUGGGCCCCUACUAUAUGCAAGGAACCGUGGUUACUACCGAUAGAUACUGGGCUGACCAAUAUUUCCUUUCUGCCCUCUGGGAGGUAGAAAUCUAAAGCAGAAAAGGAGAAAAGUAUCCAACUAAGAUGGAGCAGAGGCUCUUAGCCUGGGGUCCCAGGCACGCAUUUCAAGGGAUCCUUUAAUCUCCUGAAAUUGAAAGCAAGAUUACAAUAUUUCCCUUUGUGUGUGAGCGUUUCUUUUUCUGGGUAGAGGGUGUAUUGAUUUAAUCACAUUCUCAUACGACUCCAGGAUACUAUAAAGACUACAGAUUAUGCACAGGGCAGGCCUGAUAAGUAGAUGGUACCUUAUUUGAUAGGGUUUCACAAGUUCCCUCCGCUCUAAAUCUCUCUCUUACUCAAAUACUUCUCUCGCUGAAAUGCUACAAGUAGAUUCAUUUAUAGCAAAUGCAUAGUUAGCAUGCAUCUCUGUGGCCAUCAUCUUUCCAACAAUCUUCAGGAAAUGUUUAUUGAGCUUCUCCUGUGCGCCAGGCACUGAAUCGAGGAGUAGGUUUCCACUGGUGAAUGGAAGGGGGCUCUCAGUCCGUGGAGGGGGUGAAGCGCAAAAGGGAUGCUGGGAGAGUGGAUGCAGGAUCUUUCGAGAACACAGCAGGGUAACCUAACCUACAAUGGGACAGCAGAGCUGUCAGGAGGAGACAACAAGCCCUCCUGGGCUGCUAACCCCCUGCACUCGUGUGGAUGUGUGUAUCAGCCAGCUGGCCAACAUGAACAGAGGGUCCUGGUGAGUGAGGACACUGCCUUAGGCCUAGGGACAUGGGGAGGCAGGGUGGUGGACAGCCUCCACGAGCAUCAGGCCUCAGCAGUCUCACACUAUGGCUUGGGUCAGCCACUGAGUGAACAGAUUGGGCCCUCUACGAUGACUCUGAUAACAUGACCUGCAUUUUGGUGCAUAUUUAAAAUUUCAACUUACUUGGGCUAUGGCUAUUUGUUGCAAGAGUGUGUUUGGAAAACGGACUAUCCGGGAUUGGAGAAUGAGGGGGAGAGUGGUUUAUAACUGGGAAACUAUGUGCUGACUAUCACCAUGUUGAAAAGCAGUGUGGUUUCUAGGGGGUUCAUUCUGGAACUAGGACAUUUCGGUUUCCCCCUGCAAGACGGCCUUCAGCAAAAAAGAAAACAUACCUUGGCCACGAAAACGCAAAAACACUCUCUCUCUGUAGCUCCAAGCAGCUCUCUCCUCUGAGAGUUAACUUGUCCUAAGGCCAUCUUGUCUUUGGAAGCCCCAAAGCAGCAAAACACAGAUCUUCUUAUGCCUUCCCCUCCUUUACUAAAAAGGAACAGGAAUAAUUGCCAAUUCAGUAGGCUUCUUGCUCUUUUGUGCAUUUUAAAGGCAUUUGCUGUUUGGGAUUUGGAAGAAAAUCAUGAGAAAUGAGAAUCUCUCGCUGCCUUGGCUGGAAGCAGGCUCAUUGUUUGCAGAGAGAGCUGGUUUCCAUGGUUUUGGACUAUAGACAGCUGCAUUUUUUUUCAAGAGUAGUUUCUACUUGCAAUUGGAUCUAAUAAAUAGCCAAGGUAUUCAGCCUUCCAACAGCGAAAGGUCUUAAAGUUAUUUGAAAACACCCUACGAUGUUAUCAUUCACGACCCACUGUACACGGUUUUUAGUUAUUAAAAGUCACGCAUUUCUCUCUGGAUAGGCCCUGUUUGGCCCAAAUUUCUCCUUUAUAGAGGGCAGCCAAUCAUGUUUUGGGCUCCGAAUCCUUGUCUUGAAAGUAAACACAUUCCUCUCCUCCAAAUGACAGGAGACUCAGGGGAUAGCCUGAGAGAGCAGAGCAGGCCAGGAACAUGCAAUAUUGAGGCCUGAGCAAUAGCCAUGGGAGCGGCUCCUUGAGCUGCGACCAUCAUAGCUGUAAGGAGGUCACACGGCUUCCCCUCCCCCCGCCAGCCCUGGAGCAGGGCCCACCUUCACAGGAACCAUAUGGCGCGCUGUCAACAGAACAACAUGUGGAAACUGCCUAUUUUACCUUCUGUCGCUGAAACAGGACACAUGACAAACUUUUGCUUCUUUUUUUUCAGGACAUCGAGAGAAGAAGAAAUUGGCUAAAAUGAAAAAACAUUUUUUUGUCUUCUUGGGACAGUGGCUUGGAAUGAAGGAGGAUCAGGCAAUGAAUUUAAUUUCCACGGUGAGUGGCAGCAGUAAAGCAGCAUAGAGUGUCCCCUUAUCCGCAGCAGGGGGCUCAGCUCAGGGGACUGAGCCUGGAGCCAGGUCUCAACACCUGUCAACAACGCAUGUCGUCCUUGUGGCCCCUUAGCAAAAAUCUCUACUCUUUUUAAACAAGGGUGAACUAUAUGGCUACUAUUAAAACCACUAAUAUUGCCAUAAUUUUUUUUGUAGGAUGUCAUGGUCUUUUCUCCCUUUCCCGAAUGUAUGGCAGUUGCUCUGGGUCGUUUUUUGUCAUUUGACCCUUAUAUUGCUAUUUGAUUUUUCUUCUCUUUAGAUCUUGCUUUCCCAACUGGAUUCUUAGUUCUUUGGGAGCUGAGACCAUAGGAUCUUUUAAUUUUCCUAUAUAUGCUGUUUCCCCACCUAGAAUGGAUUUCUGCGUCUCACAUGGGAAACCACCUGGGCCUGGGUUGUACUGACCUUCCAAUGACAUUUUAGUCAAAUAGAACUAGAGAUAAUCCUUUUCAUGUUCCCAUCUCUUCUCUAAGCAUCAUGGUUGCUGAGGGAUAGAAGUUUGUUGAGGGCCACUUAAACACAGAUUUACCGCCAGAUGUGUAAAAUGUAGAACAGGAUCCACUCGAUAGAUUAGGUAAAAUUACAGUGGAGUUUGGGAAGUUAGUUAAAGGAAAGGAUUAUACUUUAAUCUGUGAUGUAAGCAUUGCAACAUCUUACUUUUUGGAGCCACUGCCCAUCCCCUUGGCAAGAACAAGAUUUCUCUCCAAUGAGGCUUGAAUUUUCUUACUCUCGAUUGAAUAAACAUUUGGCUGAGGAACCAUUAUUUCUCUUCCUUGGGGACCAAUCUGAGAAUAAUAAUAAUAAUAAACAUUUCCUUUCAAGUAACACUGCACCAAAUCUUUCAGGGCCAGGCAGAUGUGGUCAGGGAAGUUCGACUCACACUCCGAGGAGUAUUCCUCCAUGGAAGGAGAAACUCAAGAAUGUGUCCUCCCGGGGGAGUGCCCCAGAGACCCCAGACCCGAGCCCAACUUCACCCUCGCCCGCAACCUUUGAACCUGGUUCACAAAUGGGGACCAACAUCAGGAAAAUUGCCCCUAACUCAACUCAGUCUUAUAAAAUCUUACCAAGUUACUUCCUCAAGUGCACUUUCAGUGACGCUAGUUCAGUAAUUUACCUCACCUCUUGAGCCUGGGUACGCACGUGUGUAAAAUGAAGAUGAUGUCUUCCCCUCGGACCUGCUGUGAGGACUCAACUAGAUAGCUUCAACACAAAGAAGCAGGAACCCAGGGAGAAGAGGCCGGGAGAAGACAAGGCUCUCCAGAAAACACAAGAAUCUACCAGCGAGUCUUGAAGUUCCACGGGCUAUAGAACUGGAAUCGAUGGUGGUGCUGGAGCCCACGUUGCCUGGCAUUUCAAGGGACAGGGGACUCUUGAAAGCAUCUGGUUACACCAUGGCUGAAAGCCAAGUUUUCCGUGAGGUCCCGAAGUCCUAGACAAACAUUUCUUUUAUUUAGUGUGUUUGAAUUUUAAGCUUUAGGCCUUUAGAGAAAGAAUCAAGCUGACAUCCCAUUAAUAUUACUAUAAUCCCCAUUGUAGCGUAUUGUACUACUGCUAGGAACCUUUUCAAAUCUUUAGUUUUCUUUGAUCUUUACCAAAGACUUGUCAGAGAGAAAGGGCUGGUAUUAGUUUUACAUUCCUAUGGGGAAACUGAGGCACAAAGAGAUGAACAAUAAAGCCGUAGUUUAGAGCACAGCUCUGCUGGCAGCCAGUCUGGGGAGCUUUCCCGAAGGUUAUCCUGGGCAGAGCCGUUGUUCCUAGCGCAGGAUUUUCCUCUCAAAUGAGGUUGCUACAGAAUUCAACUCAAAGUCUGAGCCAAUCAACACUGAGAACAGCAUUUCAGAAUAUCCCGGUGAGGAGGUUAAAUCAUUUCGUCCUUAACCGAACAUCUGACUCUCAAAUCCAGAGCUUUAGCUUUUUCCUUUAAAAUCCGCAUGUCACUCAUUGGCAGGAGGGAGGUGGGGAGAAGGGGGAUCAUACUUAACUCUCUUUACGUUUUACAGCCACAUGUUACACCCCGACAUAAAUCUUCUAACUAAAAAAGCUCUACAGAAAAUAAGAACCAGUCACGGCCAAAUCCUCUAUUUUUUGGCAACAAUUGCUCCAUCUGUCUUGAGGGUCGA
This is a non-coding RNA of Equus caballus (horse), 7642 nucleotides long. The record is from RefSeq and is a predicted model, not a curated record. Lineage: Eukaryota; Metazoa; Chordata; Mammalia; Perissodactyla; Equidae.